AACGAACGCUGGCGGCAUGCCUAACACAUGCAAGUCGAACGAGACCUUCGGGUCUAGUGGCGCACGGGUGCGUAACGCGUGGGAACCUGCCUUUAGGUUCGGGAAUAACUCAGAGAAAUUUGAGCUAAUACCGGAUAAUGUCUUCGGACCAAAGAUUUAUCGCCUUUAGAUGGGCCCGCGUUGGAUUAGCUAGUUGGUGGGGUAAAGGCCUACCAAGGCGACGAUCCAUAGCUGGUCUGAGAGGAUGAUCAGCCACACUGGGACUGAGACACGGCCCAGACUCCUACGGGAGGCAGCAGUGGGGAAUAUUGGACAAUGGGGCGAAAAGGCCUGAUCC
Molecule: ribosomal RNA, 337 nt
Filed under: uncultured bacterium
Lineage: Bacteria
Description: bacterial SSU rRNA
Rfam family: Bacterial small subunit ribosomal RNA
Source: RNAcentral